UUUUAACAUGAACACUUUCAGUUUCCACUUUUAUUUUUACUCUUUCAAUUUUCCAUUUUUUAUGCUUUUUUUUUAUUUCAAACCAGAAUUUUUCUCCGACGUUACCACCGUGCCGGAAUUCUUCUCCACCGUCGUCUUCUUCUCCUUCAAAGGGGUGUUGAUGUUGUUCAACUUGAGGUCAAAAAAAUAGGUUGAUGGACAAAAGUUUCAAUGGAAUUUGGAACUUGUUUAAAGGCGUGCUUUCAAGAUUUAAUACAUUGUCGUAUUGUAAUAAUGAGAAGAAGAUUUUUUGACUGAUAGAUAUCAGGCAUAAGAAAAUAUGUGUAUGCUAAUGAUCAUAUAUUGAAAAAAAAUUGAAGAGUAUGAUGAGUCCCUUGGUGUAGGGUAUUACUCAUCAAAGUGAAUGAUGUUGAUUCUAAAUGUGGUAUGAGCAUCAAGGGUCCUCCUUGUAGUACUAUGGACAUUUUCACACUCCGAUCGAUUCUUUGUAAUGGAAAAUGAUUAGAUCUUUGUUUCUCGAUUUUGACAAUGUGCCAAAAACCCUUAAGCUUGGUCUUUCUACAGAAGGAAUUAAUGUAGUAGCCAUAGAUCAUGGACUCAUUCUGCUUAUAGUAUACAACUUAUUUCCUUGGUUGUGCAUGAGAAGAUAUUCAUUCAAUGGUCAAAAAGACUUGUGGAGAUUAUUUCAGGUAAAAUAUUAGUUAAUAUAUAUUUUUCGAUUUAUUCUUAGAAAGAAUAUAAAAAUGCUGACCAAGUUUUAAAGGCAACAUUGCAAAGAACGAAUUUGAAGAUUGUGGAAUUUUUUUUUGGGUUCUAACAUAUGUUGUGGAGCUGUGUAUAGUUAAACAAGAGCUAUAUGGAUAAAAACUCAUCAAUUGUGGUUGACAUUAGUACAUCUUAUUGUAAAAAUAAGCCAUCAUAGGUGUUCCCAUUGUAAAUUGUUUACAACAUGUUAUUAGUUAUAAAAGUUACUAUAUACAAUAUCUACCCAUUAAGUUCACAUUUUGUAUUCAUUUUUAGCGCAAAGAUAGAGUUAAGUGUAUGGAUGGAGCAAUUAAAUCUGUGUACAGCAGGUGAAGUUGAACUACUAAUUAGCUUAAUGUCAAAACACUUAAAUCCCUUUGACAUUUCA
Molecule: long non-coding RNA, 1132 nt
Organism: Vicia villosa (hairy vetch)
Lineage: Eukaryota; Viridiplantae; Streptophyta; Magnoliopsida; Fabales; Fabaceae
Exons: 2
Source: RefSeq, a predicted model, not a curated record